This 1318-nucleotide ribosomal RNA is filed under the name Escherichia coli. Its description in RNAcentral is "partial 23S ribosomal RNA". It matches the Rfam family "Bacterial large subunit ribosomal RNA", at positions 1348 to 2649 of the family's 2925-position model. Lineage: Bacteria; Pseudomonadati; Pseudomonadota; Gammaproteobacteria; Enterobacterales; Enterobacteriaceae. The record is from RNAcentral.
AGGGUUCCUGUCCAACGUUAAUCGGGGCAGGGUGAGUCGACCCCUAAGGCGAGGCCGAAAGGCGUAGUCGAUGGGAAACAGGUUAAUAUUCCUGUACUUGGUGUUACUGCGAAGGGGGGACGGAGAAGGCUAUGUUGGCCGGGCGACGGUUGUCCCGGUUUAAGCGUGUAGGCUGGUUUUCCAGGCAAAUCCGGAAAACCAAGGCUGAGGCGUGAUGACGAGGCACUACGGUGCUGAAGCGACAAAUGCCCUGCUUCCAGGAAAAGCCUCUAAGCAUCAGGUAACAUCAAAUCGUACCCCAAACCGACACAGGUGGUCAGGUAGAGAAUACCAAGGCGCUUGAGAGAACUCGGGUGAAGGAACUAGGCAAAAUGGUGCCGUAACUUCGGGAGAAGGCACGCUGAUAUGUAGGUGAAGCGACUUGCUCGUGGAGCUGAAAUCAGUCGAAGAUACCAGCUGGCUGCAACUGUUUAUUAAAAACACAGCACUGUGCAAACACGAAAGUGGACGUAUACGGUGUGACGCCUGCCCGGUGCCGGAAGGUUAAUUGAUGGGGUUAGCGGCAACGCGAAGCUCUUGAUCGAAGCCCCGGUAAACGGCGGCCGUAACUAUAACGGUCCUAAGGUAGCGAAAUUCCUUGUCGGGUAAGUUCCGACCUGCACGAAUGGCGUAAUGAUGGCCAGGCUGUCUCCACCCGAGACUCAGUGAAAUUGAACUCGCUGUGAAGAUGCAGUGUACCCGCGGCAAGACGGAAAGACCCCGUGAACCUUUACUAUAGCUUGACACUGAACAUUGAGCCUUGAUGUGUAGGAUAGGUGGGAGGCUUUGAAGUGUGGACGCCAGUCUGCAUGGAGCCGACCUUGAAAUACCACCCUUUAAUGUUUGAUGUUCUAACGUUGGCCCCUAAUCGGGGUUGCGGACAGUGUCUGGUGGGUAGUUUGACUGGGGCGGUCUCCUCCUAAAGAGUAACGGAGGAGCACGAAGGUUGGCUAAUCCUGGUCGGACAUCAGGAGGUUAGUGCAAUGGCAUAAGCCAGCUUGACUGCGAGCGUGACGGCGCGAGCAGGUGCGAAAGCAGGUCAUAGUGAUCCGGUGGUUCUGAAUGGAAGGGCCAUCGCUCAACGGAUAAAAGGUACUCCGGGGAUAACAGGCUGAUACCGCCCAAGAGUUCAUAUCGACGGCGGUGUUUGGCACCUCGAUGUCGGCUCAUCACAUCCUGGGGCUGAAGUAGGUCCCAAGGGUAUGGCUGUUCGCCAUUUAAAGUGGUACGCGAGCUGGGUUUAGAACGUCGUGAGACAGUUCGGUCCCUAUCUGCCGUG